GAGUUUGAUCCUGGCUCAGAACAAACGCUGGCGGCGUGCUUAACACAUGCAAGUCGAACGAGAAAGGCCCUUCGGGGUUGAGUAUAGUGGCAAACGGGUGAGUAACACGUGAGUAUCUGCCCUUAGAUGAAGGAUACCUUCGGGAAACUGAAGUUAAUCCUGCAUAAUUUCGAAAGAACAAAGGAGGCCUCUUGCUUCCGUCUAAGGAUGGGCUUGCGUCCUAUUAGCUUGUUGGUGGGGUAAAGGCCUACCAAGGCAAUGAUGGGUAUCCGGCCUGAGAGGGUGUACGGACACAUUGGGACUGAGAUACGGCCCAGACUCCUACGGGAGGCAGCAGUGGGGAAUAUUGUGCAAUGGGCGAGCCUGACACAGCGACGCCGCGUGGAGGAUGAAGGUCUUCGGAUCGUAAACUUCUGUUCUGUGGGAAGAAAUACCGUCGGUUAAUACCCGGCGGGGAUGACGGUACCACAGCAGAAAGCCCCGGCUAACUUCGUGCCAGCAGCCGCGGUAAUACGAGGGGGGCAAGCGUUGUUCGGAAUCACUGGGCGUAAAGGGUGUGUAGGCGGCCUUUUUAGUUAAGCGUGUAAUCUUGCAGCCCAACUGCAUUUUUGCGUUUAAUACUGGAAGGCUAGAGGCUGGAAGAGAGGAGUGGAAUUCUCGGAGUAGCGGUAAAAUGCGUAGAUCUCGAGAGGAACACCAGUGGCGAAGGCGGCUCCUUGGUCCAAGUCUGACGCUGAUACACGAAAGCAUGGGUAGCAAACAGGAUUAGAUACCCUGGUAGUCCAUGCCGUAAACGAUGAUCACUAGAUGUGUGGUUCCUUCGGGAGCUGCGUGUCGAAGCUAACGCGAUAAGUGAUCCGCCUGGGGAGUACGGUCGCAAGACUAAAACUUAAAGGAAUUGACGGGGGCCCGCACAAGCGGUGGAACAUGUGGUUUAAUUCGACACUACGCGAGGAACCUUACCUAGGCUUGACAUGUAACUGCAAACUGUUGAAAGACGGUCUUUCGAGCUUGCUCGGACAUUUACACAGGUGCUGCAUGGCUGUCGUCAGCUCGUGUCGUGAGAUGUUGGGUUAAGUCCUUUAACGAGCGCAACCCUUGUCGUUAGUUGCCAUCAUUUAGUUGGGCACUCUAGCGAGACUGCCUGGGGAACCAGGAGGAAGGUGGGGAUGACGUCAAGUCCUCAUGGCCCUUAUGCCUAGGGCGACACACGUGUUACAAUGGCUAGUACAAAGGGAAGCGAGCCUGCGAGGGUAAGCCGAUCCCAGAAAGCUAGUCCAAGUUCGGAUUGGAGUCUGCAACCCGACUCCAUGAAGUUGAAAUCGCUAGUAAUCGCGUAUCAGAACGGUGCGGUGAAUGCGUUCCCGGGCCUUGUACACACCGCCCGUCAAAUCACGAAAGCUGUCUGUACCCAAAGUCGCUUUGGCUAGCCGAAAGGGGGCCGGCGCCUAAGGUAUGGGUGGUGAUUGGGGUUAAGUCGUAACAAGGUAGCUGUAGGAGAACCUGCGGCUGGAUCACCUCCUUU
This 1525-nucleotide ribosomal RNA is filed under the name uncultured prokaryote. RNAcentral describes it as "partial 16S ribosomal RNA". It matches the Rfam family "Bacterial small subunit ribosomal RNA". The record is from RNAcentral.